RNAcentral lists this ribosomal RNA (240 nucleotides) under uncultured bacterium. RNAcentral's name for it is "partial 16S ribosomal RNA". It matches the Rfam family "Bacterial small subunit ribosomal RNA", at positions 94 to 334 of the family's 1533-position model. The record is from RNAcentral.
AGCGGCGGACGGGUGAGUAACGCGUGGGUAACCUGCCUCAUACAGGGGGAUAACAGUUGGAAACGGCUGCUAAUACCGCAUAAGCGCACAGUACCGCAUGGUACCGUGUGAAAAACUCCGGUGGUAUGAGAUGGACCCGCGUCUGAUUAGGUAGUUGGUGGGGUAACGGCCUACCAAGCCGACGAUCAGUAGCCGACCUGAGAGGGUGACCGGCCACAUUGGGACUGAGACACGGCCCAG